UACGUAGGGGGCAAGCGUUGUCCGGAUUUACUGGGCGUAAAAGGUUCGUAGGUGGCUCGUCCAGUCGAGCGUGAAAUCUCCCGGCUUAACUGGGAGAGGUCGUUCGAUACUAGCGGGCUCGAGGUCGGUAGAGGGAAGCGGAAUUCCGGGUGUAGUGGUGGAAUACGUAGAUAUCCGGAGGAACACCAGUGGCGAAGGCGGCUUCCUGGACCGAUUCUGACACUGAGGAACGAAAGCGUGGGGAGCGAUCCGG
This 253-nucleotide ribosomal RNA is filed under the name uncultured bacterium. RNAcentral's name for it is "partial 16S ribosomal RNA". It matches the Rfam family "Bacterial small subunit ribosomal RNA", at positions 524 to 776 of the family's 1533-position model. The record is from RNAcentral.